This 789-nucleotide ribosomal RNA is filed under the name uncultured bacterium. Its description in RNAcentral is "bacterial SSU rRNA". It matches the Rfam family "Bacterial small subunit ribosomal RNA", at positions 8 to 798 of the family's 1533-position model. The record is from RNAcentral.
AGAGUUUGAUCCUGGCUCAGGACGAACGCUGGCGGCGUGCUUAACACAUGCAAGUCGAACGGAAAGGCCCCUUCGGGGGUACUCGAGUGGCGAACGGGUGAGUAACACGUGGGUGAUCUGCCCUGCACUUUGGGAUAAGCCUGGGAAACUGGGUCUAAUACCGAAUAGGACCGCAUGCUUCAUGGUGUGUGGUGGAAAGCUUUUGCGGUGUGGGAUGGGCCCGCGGCCUAUCAGCUUGUUGGUGGGGUAAUGGCCUACCAGGGCGACGACGGGUAGCCGGCCUGAGAGGGUGUCCGGCCACACUGGGACUGAGAUACGGCCCAGACUCCUACGGGAGGCAGCAGUGGGGAAUAUUGCACAAUGGGCGCAAGCCUGAUGCAGCGACGCCGCGUGGGGGAUGACGGCCUUCGGGUUGUAAACCUCUUUCAGUAUCGGCGAAGCUCCAGGAUUUUUCUUGGGGUGACGGUAGGUACAGAAGAAGCACCGGCCAACUACGUGCCAGCAGCCGCGGUAAUACGUAGGGUGCGAGCGUUGUCCGGAAUUACUGGGCGUAAAGAGCUCGUAGGUGGUUUAUCACGUUGUCCGUGAAAACUCACAGCUUAACUGUGGGCGUGCGGGCGAUACGGGCAGACUGGAGUACUGUAGGGGAGACUGGAAUUCCUGGUGUAGCGGUGGAAUGCGCAGAUAUCAGGAGGAACACCGGUGGCGAAGGCGGGUCUCUGGGCAGUAACUGACGCUGAGGAGCGAAAGCGUGGGGAGCGAACAGGAUUAGAUACCCUGGUAGUCCAA